UGGGCAGCUGUAGAAUAUACCUGGAAUGGUACUCACUUGUGGGUAAGUCAGAAACAACUGCACAAAACAAUAUGACCACACAGGGAAGGCACAGGAAAUUAAACCUGCAAUGGUUACACAUAUACAAAUACAUAUAUUUUACACAGGACUUUAAAAAAAAUAAAAAAAAAUUGCUUUAAAGUAGGAAACAUGCAGCAUAAUUGUUAGCUACUUAUGUGUAACCUUUAAGUGGAAC
Molecule: non-coding RNA, 235 nt
Organism: Pelobates cultripes (western spadefoot toad)
Lineage: Eukaryota; Metazoa; Chordata; Amphibia; Anura; Pelobatidae
Source: the annotation of a GenBank genome assembly